Molecule: ribosomal RNA, 380 nt
Filed under: uncultured Rhizophydiaceae
Lineage: Eukaryota; Fungi; Chytridiomycota; Chytridiomycetes; Rhizophydiales; Rhizophydiaceae
Description: SSU rRNA
Rfam family: Eukaryotic small subunit ribosomal RNA
Source: RNAcentral
AGCUCCAAUAGCGUAUAUUAAAGUUGUUGCAGUUAAAAAGCUCGUAGUUGAACUUUGGGCUUGGCUGGGUGGUCUGCUCUUAGAGCAGUACUACUCUGGCUGAGUCUUUCCUUCUGGAGAACUAUGGUGCUAUUCAUUUAGUGCUAUAGGGAACCAGGACUUUUACUUUGAAAAAAUUAGAGUGUUUAAAGCAGGCUUACGCUUGAAUACAUUAGCAUGGAAUAAUAAAAUAGGACUUUGGUUUUAUUUUGUUGGUUUUCGAAACCGAAGUAAUGAUUAAUAGGGAUAGUUGGGGGCAUUUGUAUUGAGCCGUCAGAGGUGAAAUUCUUGGAUCGGCGCAAGACGAACAACUGCGAAAGCAUUUGCCAAGGAUGUUUUCA